Long non-coding RNA from Oncorhynchus gorbuscha (pink salmon), 923 nucleotides. RefSeq lists it as uncharacterized. Lineage: Eukaryota; Metazoa; Chordata; Actinopteri; Salmoniformes; Salmonidae. The record is from RefSeq and is a predicted model, not a curated record. The transcript has 3 exons.
UAAAUAUGCCAUGUGUCCCUAAACAUAAUUUUUAAACAUCUGUAGCAAAUAAACGAAACCUCUCUGGUAUCCAUGGCCCGACAGAAAAGUAAAUGCGAAGGGCCUACAAUCAGCAGACAAGGGUGAGUUAAUCUAUAACAUAUUCCUGGUUUGGACGAGGGAUGCAGAAUAUCGCCUCGUCUGGGGACUGUUUUGGAUUAUUGCAGGUGUGGUGUAGUCUGGUCGCUUUUACAGUCGCGGACUAAUCACCCUUCGGUAGUGGAUAAUUAAGCCUACCAAUUGAGGAGGAGCUGUGAACGUCAGACGACCAUGUCCCCUAUGAAGAACUCCGGGGCUGUGUGAGGAUGUAGAUUAACUUCAAAGGUACUCUCGCAGGUGGAAUCUGACAAUCCAAGAUGUAAAGGAGGUAGAGGGAGAGGAUAUUAGAGAAUUAGUCAUUAAUAUCCUGGGAAAAGUGGUAAUACCGCAGGAUCAGGCUGCAAGAGAGAAACUGUAUCCGUUUAUACAGAAGGCGCAACAAGAGGGAAAGAAGGCGGGGUUCAAGGGCUCACACGCGUUUAUCGGAGGACGAAUGAUUACUGGGUAACUGUUGACAUUAACCAAAUUGGAACUGAGAAGACCUCAAAGCCCCUGUGUAAGAUACCCUCGCAACCAGAGAAGCAAACUCGUCCACUGAAAGGGAAGCCUCCUCAGAUCAUGAUAGAAACAAAGGCAUCAGUGAGCAGCACAUUGCCUGCCAUGACAAAGCUUCCGUUUCUACCUGGGGUCGCCUUUAAAUUUUAUAGAGCCAGCCUGGGUAAAAAGUUGUAUCAGCCUACAUCUGAUUUCAACCUCAGUGACCCAAACUGUCACAUUAUGAGGCCGACGUACAACAGUUUGCAUGACCCAAACCUCAAUAAAUACUACCAUCAGAAGGAAAUGCA